Molecule: transfer RNA, 71 nt
Filed under: Glutamicibacter sp. FBE19
Lineage: Bacteria; Bacillati; Actinomycetota; Actinomycetes; Micrococcales; Micrococcaceae
Description: tRNA-Met
Rfam family: tRNA
About the family: Transfer RNA (tRNA) molecules are approximately 80 nucleotides in length. Their secondary structure includes four short double-helical elements and three loops (D, anti-codon, and T loops). Further hydrogen bonds mediate the characteristic L-shaped molecular structure. tRNAs have two regions of fundamental functional importance: the anti-codon, which is responsible for specific mRNA codon recognition, and the 3' end, to which the tRNAs corresponding amino acid is attached (by aminoacyl-tRNA synthetases). tRNAs cope with the degeneracy of the genetic code in two manners: having more than one tRNA (with a specific anti-codon) for a particular amino acid; and 'wobble' base-pairing, i.e. permitting non-standard base-pairing at the 3rd anti-codon position.
Source: RNAcentral
GGCACUGUAGCUCAAAGGUAGAGCGCCCGUCUCAUAAGCGGGAGACUGAGUUUCGAGUACUCACGUUGCCA